GGGCUCGCAGGCGGUUUCUUAAGUCUGAUGUGAAAGCCCCCGGCUCAACCGGGGAGGGUCAUUGGAAACUGGGAAACUUGAGUGCAGAAGAGGAGAGUGGAAUUCCACGUGUAGCGGUGAAAUGCGUAGAGAUGUGGAGGAACACCAGUGGCGAAGGCGACUCUCUGGUCUGUAACUGACGCUGAGGAGCGAAAGCGUGGGGAGCGAACAGGAUUAGAUACCCUGGUAGUCCACGCCGUAAACGAUGAGUGCUAAGUGUUAGGGGGUUUCCGCCCCUUAGUGCUGCAGCUAACGCAUUAAGCACUCCGCCUGGGGAGUACGGUCGCAAGACUGAAACUCAAAGGAAUUGACGGGGGCCCGCACAAGCGGUGGAGCAUGUGGUUUAAUUCGAAGCAACGCGAAGAACCUUACCAGGUCUUGACAUCCUCUGACAACCCUAGAGAUAGGGCUUUCCCUUCGGGGACAGAGUGACAGGUGGUGCAUGGUUGUCGUCAGCUCGUGUCGUGAGAUGUUGGGUUAAGUCCCGCAACGAGCGCAACCCUUGAUCUUAGUUGCCAGCAU
This 561-nucleotide ribosomal RNA is filed under the name Bacillus subtilis. Its description in RNAcentral is "bacterial SSU rRNA". It matches the Rfam family "Bacterial small subunit ribosomal RNA", at positions 565 to 1124 of the family's 1533-position model. The record is from RNAcentral. Lineage: Bacteria; Bacillati; Bacillota; Bacilli; Caryophanales; Bacillaceae.